Long non-coding RNA from Bos indicus x Bos taurus (hybrid cattle), 1641 nucleotides. The record is from Ensembl. Lineage: Eukaryota; Metazoa; Chordata; Mammalia; Artiodactyla; Bovidae.
UUCAGGAAGCCUGCCUCUCCUCCCACUUCGCCCCUUCUCUCCGCGCAGCAUUAUGCUCUGUUGGUGGCUCUGGGCUUUGCAAAAUGUCGCGAUAUUCCCGCCCCCAGCCCCGGCCUGACCCCCGCGCCCCCAUCCACCCUGGGCCUGGCUCCCCCUCACCUCAGCAGGAAUGGGCUCCCGACCCACUCAGCCCGAGGCGGGGGCCCUGAGGCUCAGCCCGGCGCCCAGGCUGGGUUUCGCUUUGCCCCCUUGCUUGGCGGGGCUGCCUGCACAUCCCCGCCCCGUCUGUGUCCCGGGCAUCCCGCCAGCUCCCACCACCUCCACCGCGCCCCCGGUGCCGCCGGUGUCCCCCUGCCGGAUGCCCCGCCUUCCACCACGCGGGCCUGGCCCUCAUGUCGACGGGCAGACCUCUGCCCGCACACCUCCGGGUCUCAUCUCUCAUCCCCGCACCAUGGACGGACGUCUGGUAGGACACAAGGCAGCUUCCCGCCCUGGGUCUUCAGGAAACUUAGCCCCAGACAAGAAGGCAAACCUACUGGCGCUGUGGCUUUUCAUUGCACCGGGGGCAUCUGCCGGCCAAACUGGGUCACAAACUACCAAAAAUGGAAAAGGACGGGAAGCAAUUCUCCUGAUGGACUCUGUGUGGUGCGGCUUCCCCUGCAGGCUGUGGGCGCAGCGGGGAGAGGGAAGGCUCGUUGCCAGCCUGCUCUGUGCCAGGGGAGUCAGGAGAACGUGAAGAAACAACACAGGCCUUGAACAGCGAUGCUGGGGAAGGGUGAAUUCACUUUUGCCUGAGGCCCCAUGUUCUACCGGCCAAGGAUUUCCAGGGAAAUCAAACCUGCCUGGCUGGCUUCCGUGGAAAAGAAAAGAGCCCAGAGACAUGGGCAGAGGUGUUGUGGCCCCCAAUCCCUCAACAAUAAGCAAGGUGAGUCCCACGCACAGGGUGUCAAGUCGGUGCCGUGAUAUUUAUGAGAGUACCAGCUGGGGAAGAGCCGUGAGCAGUCGGCCCUGUGGUUUAUUAGCGAUCAGCCGCCCUGGCCGCUGAUUCUAAAGGAAACCAACAUUAAAGGAAAUCAACCCUGAAUAUUCAUUAGAAGGACUGAUGCUGAAGCUGGAGCUCCAAUAUUUUGGCCACCCGAUGCGGAGAGCUAACUCAGUGGAAAAGACCCUGAUGCUGGGAAAGACUGAGGGCAGGAGGAGAAGGGGGCGGCAGAGAAUGAGAUGGUUGAAUGGCAUCACCAACUCAAUGGACAUGAGUCAGAGCAAACUCUGGGUGAUGGUGAAGGACAGGGAAGCCUGGCGUGCUGCAGUCCAUGGGGUCACAAAGAGCUGGACACGACUGAGCAACGGAACAACACCCACAGCAAGCUUACUUGGAUGGCAGAAAAGAGGGUCCAGUUUAAAUGACCAACACAACAGACCUCAGAAAGGGGAACCAAGGAGACCACGAAGCCUCCCCUCAGAGCCUUGGGGCUCCUACAAUGACCUCUCACGGUUUUGCUUGGUUUGAACUUAAAUGUUUUCUUUAAUAUAUUAGUUUAUGAGGGUUUCAUUGAUUAUCAUAAGAUAAAUGAUGUCACUUUGAAAAACAUUUUCUCUCUUUCAUCAUUUUAAAUAAAGGGGGCGAUACAUCAAAUGGCA